GUAUAACUUAGUGGCAGACGGGUGAGUAAUGUAUAGGAAUCUACCUAGUAGUACGGAAUAAUUGUUGGAAACGGCAACUAAUACCGUAUACGCCCUACGGGGGAAAAAUUUAUUGCUAUUAGAUGAGCCUAUAUUAGAUUAGCUAGUUGGUGGAGUAAUAGCCUACCAAGGCAAUGAUCUAUAGCUGAUCUGAGAGGAUGAUCAGCCACACUGGAACUGAGAUACGGUCCAGACUCCUACGGGAGGCAGCAGUGGGGAAUAUUGGACAAUGGGCGAAAGCCUGAUCCAGCCAUGCCGCAUGAGUGAAGAAGGCCUUUGGGUUGUAAAGCUCUUUUAGUGAGGAAGAUAAUGACGGUACUCACAGAAGAAGUCCUGGCUAACUCCGUGCCAGCAGCCGCGGUAAUACGGAGAGGGCUAGCGUUAUUCGGAAUCAUUGGGCGUAAAGGGCGCGUAGGCGGAUUAGUAAGUUAAAAGUGAAAUCCCAAGGCUCAACCUUGGAAUUGCUUUUAAAACUGCUAGUCUAGAGAUUGAAAGAGGAUAGAGGAAUUCCUAGUGUAGAGGUGAAAUUCGUAAAUAUUAGGAGGAACACCAGUGGCGAAGGCGUCUAUCUGGUUCAAAUCUGACGCUGAGGCGCGAAGGCGUGGGGAGCAAACAGGAUUAGAUACCCUGGUAGUCCACGCUGUAAACGAUGAAUGUUAAAUAUGGGAAGUUUACUUUCUGUAUUACAGCUAACGCGUUAAACAUUCCGCCUGGGGACUACGGUCGCAAGAUUAAAACUCAAAGGAAUUGACGGGGACCCGCACAAGCGGUGGAGCAUGUGGUUUAAUUCGAUGCAACGCGAAAA
This 844-nucleotide ribosomal RNA is filed under the name Wolbachia sp. Dru. RNAcentral describes it as "bacterial SSU rRNA". It matches the Rfam family "Bacterial small subunit ribosomal RNA", at positions 85 to 967 of the family's 1533-position model. Lineage: Bacteria; Pseudomonadati; Pseudomonadota; Alphaproteobacteria; Rickettsiales; Anaplasmataceae. The record is from RNAcentral.